AGCAACCCGGGCGUCCCUCUCACCGACCUAUGAUACUAGACACUCCACCCCUAUAUAUUCUCCUCUGUCCUCCCCAUCAUAUUUCUUGAAACGCCUCGUUUGUUCUGUCUUCGUUCUCGUUUCUAGCAACCCGGGCGUCCCUCUCACCGACCUAUGAUACUAGACACUCCACCCCUAUAUAUUCUCCUCUGUCCUCCCCAUCAUAUUUCUUGAAACGCCUCGUUUGUUCUGUCUUCGUUCUCUUCGAGCUCUGUCGUUGCUUCCGAGUUCUUGAAAUUUUCUUUACGGAACUUUGUAUGCUCCCUCAAAGAAAAUAGGAAUCAGUGCCAUUUAAUACGCGAGAGGACCACUCUCAGCCACUCCUUGUCGCCUCUCUGCUUUGUCUCCGAGAAAAGAGGGAGCCGCUUCGGAAGGGUAAAACCUUAAUAUCAUGUGAAUUAUUCCUUGAUUUCUGGAGAUCUUUGUCUAUUUUCAUGUUUUCUUCGUUUAUCUGGUUGCUGAUCGUGUAUCUGACCGGAUUGAUCGGGUCUGUGUCUUCCAUUUCGCUAUUUUCGAGUCGCUUUAAAGAUAUUUUCAAGUGUGUUCUCUACUAAAUUAUGGAUCGGUAUGAUCUUUGAUUAAGCAAUCCGUUAGACAGAUAUCUGUUCUUGUUUCCAGAUCGGUAUCAUUCUCGUCUUUUUCGUGUUCAUUUUUUGAUCGAUCUAGCGCUGGGAAUAUUGUUUUAGAGACGGAUAUGGUGGGUAUAAGGGUUGGUUGUUUGUCAUGAAAACUGUUAGAUCAGGUAGAUCUGCAAUGGUUUUAGGGGUGGCCUUGUUCUAUAUGCUUGAUUUUCUUUACGGACCUUUGUCUGCACCCUAAGAAAAAAGAUGAAUCACUCAUUUAAUACGCGAGAGGACCUCUCUGUCAUCCCGUUCUUGCGUUUCUGUCGCCUCUCUCCUUUGUCUCCGAGAAAAGAGGGUGCCGCUUCGGAAGGGUAAAACCUUAAUCUCAUAUGAAUUCUUCCUUGAUUUCUGGAGAUCUUUGUCUAUUUUUCAUGUUUUCUUCGUUUAUCUGGUUGCUGAUCGUGUACCUGAGCGUAUCGAUCGAGUCCUGUGUCUAUCAUUUCGCUAUUUUCGAGUCGAUUUGAAGACAUUUACAAGUGUGUUCUCUACUAAAUUAUGGAUCGGUGUGUCUUUGAUCAAGCAAUCCGUUAGACAGAUAUCUGUUCUUGUUUUCAGAUCGGUAUCAUUCUCUUCUUUAUCGUGUUUAUUUUUUGAUCGAUCUAGCGCUGGGAAUCUUGUUUUAGAGACGGAUAUGGUGGGUAUAAGCAUUGGUUGUUUGUAGUGGAAACCAUUAGAUCAGGUAGAUCUGCAAUGGUUUUAGGGGCGGCCUUGUUCUUGACGCUUGAUUUAGUAUAUUAAUUGCAUCUGAUUUCCUGUUUUAUAAGGAUUGUACGCUGUUUCAUGGUUCUUGUUUGCGAAUUUGGUCCCUGAUAGCUUUGAGGUGGUAGACAUCCAGAUUAGCUUGGGGAUUUUAGACCUUCGAGCGUGUAGCUUCUCUAAUCAUGAUACGUUUAUUGAUCUAUUGCUUGCAGUUUUUUAUGUGUCUAAAUUUAUAGUACAUAGACUUGGCACCAAUAACACUGUAGUUAUUUACUUCUAAAAUAAAGUAUUGGUUUUGAUGUGGAGUAGCAUGGUUUAUAUAUAUGUUUGCUCUCUUUUAUGGAGUUAUUUAAACUAUUCCAUUGGAGAUCAUCCAUUUUAUUUAUAGAAACCCAUGGUGGUAAGGUUUAUGAUAUAUUAAGCUCUGUAUUUUGUGUGAUGAAGCUUUAAGGUUAUUUUGACCAUUGAAAUUGUUAACUGUUGUAUUUUAUAUUCUUGGUCAUCUGCAGUUCUUCGUGAUGAGGUAUUUAAUUUGGUAAAUGUUUCAUUUGUUUGUGGUUGUUUUCUUUCAUCUUUUCUUGUAUUGAUUAUUUACUGUAUUUUAUGUGAUUCUUUAUAGCACAAAUGUCUGCACAUUUUCUUUAUAUAAAAGUACCGGCCUUGUAGGUUGUUCAUAAAAAUUGUUCAGUUUUACAAUUCUCAUGACAAUAUCCCAAUUAUCAUAUGUUUUAAUUCUCAUAAUCUUCAACAUUAAUGCCUCUUUUUUAGUCUAUUUUUAGUUAAUUAUGGUUUGGUCAGACAAGACUACUUGUAUACAGUUAACCUAUUUUUUAGUCUAUUUUUAGUCUAUUGGUCAGACAAAACAUUAAUGCCUCUUUUUUAGUCUAUUUUUCAUGGACGAGGCGGAGGUGGGUUUUCUCUCGUUGCAUCGGUCUUCGAUGACGAUGGCAUGCUUUUGCUUGCUUCCAUCCUUAUUGUCAUCGUUCCAUCAUAAGUUCUUGAUCCUUGGUCCAAAGAUAGUUCGGUAUAGGGAUUCUUUGGUAAAGAUUCAUAUGGUCUAUUUCAUGACCACCGCUUCCUCGAUGGUGGUGAAAACCUAGCCGUAGACACCAUCAUUAGCUUAGCUUCCUUGGUAGAGGCUAAAAACGAAUGUGGCGAUCAACAAGGAGGGCUUUCUAUAGUUGCAUCGAUGUUGAUCUCUUGCAUUCGCUUGUUUCCUAUCCUAUAGUGGCCAUUCUAUCGCAAAUUCUUGAUCCUUGGUGCAGAGAAGUGUUGGUACAAGGAUUCUUUUGAAUAGAUUCUUUUGGUCACAGAUUUUCAUAGCAAGCUCUGCUGCUGCACCAAAGAUCAUGAUUAGAGACGGAUAUGGUGGGUAUAAGCAUUGGUAUAACCUUACCACCAUGGGUUUCUAUAAAUAAAAUGGAUGAUCUCCAAUGGAAUAGUUUAAAUAACUCCAUAAAAGAGAGCAAACAUAUAUAUAAACCAUGCUACUCCACAUCAAAACCAAUACUUUAUUUUAGAAGUAAAUAACUACAGUGUUAUUGGUGCCAAGUCUAUGUACUAUAAAUUUAGACACAUAAAAAACUGCAAGCAAUAGAUCAAUAAACGUAUCAUGAUUAGAGAAGCUACAAGCUCCAAGGUCUAAAAUCCCAAAGCUAAUCUGGAUGUCUACCACUUCAAAGCUAUCAGGGACCAAAUUCGCAAACAAGAACCAUGAAACAGCGUACAAUCCUUAUAAAACAGGAAAUCAGAUGCAAUUAAUAUACUAAAUCAAGCGUCAAGAACAAGGCCGCCCCUAAAACCAUUGCAGAUCUACCUGAUAUAUUUUGUGUGAUGAAGCUUUAAGGUUAUUUUGACCAUCGAAAUUGUUAACUGUUGUAUUUUAUAUUCUUGGUCAUCUGCAGUUCUUCAUGAUGAGGUAUUUAAUUUGGUAAAUGUUUCAUUUGUUUGUGGUUGUUUUCUUUCAUCUUUUUUUGUAUUGAUUAUUUACUGUAUUUUAUGUGAUUCUUUAUAGCACAAAUGUCUGCACAUUUUCUUUAUAUAAAAGUACCGGCCUUGUAGGUUGUUCAUAAAAAUUGUUCAGUUUUGCAAUUCUCAUGACAAUAUCCCAAUUAUCAUAUUUUUUAAUUCUCAUAAUCUUCAACAUUAAUGCCUCUUUUUUAGUCUAUUUUUAGUUAAUUAUGGUUUGGUCAGACAAGACUACUUGUAUAUAGUUAACCUAUUUUUUAGUCUAUUUUAGUCUAUUUUUUAGUCUAUUUUUAGUCUAUUGGUCAGACAAAACAUUAAUGCCUCUUUUUUAGUCUAUUUUUCUUGGACAAGGCGGAGGUGGGUUUUCUCUCGUUGUAUCGGUCUUCGAUGACGAUGGCAUGCUUUUGCUUGCUUCCAUCCUUAUUGUCAUUGUUCCAUCAUAAGUUCUUGAUCCUUGGUCCAAAGAUAGUUCUGUCACGGACUUAGCUGGUUUUGCCUAAGUCGUGCGGCACCCUUGCGUGUCCGUUCGCAAAGGUCAGCCUCCCCGAAGCCUCCCAUUGUCCCUUAGGACCACCAAAAGAGAGAACGGGUUAGAGAGAACGCCUCAAUCGGGAUCCACAAGCAAACAUCUCCGAAAAACACUUCAUAGACAAUGCAAAUUACAAACAGACUUUACAAGCUCUGAACAGUUGCACAACAAAGGGUAAAAUGGUCCAUUACAGACCGAAAAGCUCUCGCACGUGUCCACAUGACACAACCUUUAUUUACAAGCCUAAAGAGGCCACCAACCUAACUCAAAUGGGACUUUGAAGCCUUCGGCCGCCCCUCUAUAUGCUCCAAGCAGUCUAUUUGGUCGAUGGAAAGACAGACUGCAACUCCCAUGCAUGGCCUCUGCCAUCACGUUGUAGGGUUUGCACUGAUUCUGUUCUCCUUAGCUUCCUUGAUAGCAACGUUCGCUUACUCGACCUUGUCCUCUGACUUGUCGGGCUCCCUUAAGCGAAUAUGAGCUCUGGAGCAGUCCAACUCUCCAGUUGCUUCGAUCAUACCUCUGCAUGAUCAAGUCCCUCCCAUGGAACUCACUGGUGCUUGCAUUCGAACUUUUCCCUUGAUAUACAAAGAAAAUAGGCAAAAAGGAAACAUAGUUUUAUCUCACAGUAAUUACCAUCAAAAUCAUGUUGGAGUUGAAUGAAGAUAGAUGUUAAAUAGAGUGAAGGAAUGAAUUAAAGUGAAGCAUAAAGCUGAAACAUGGUUCAAUUUAUUUGUCUUUUUCCCUUUAUAUCCAAAACUAAUUUUAAUAUCUGAUUGCAUUCUUCUGCUGAUUUCAAUGUCAUGCAACAUCUAAUUUGUGAUUAGAGGUUUAACAGGCCAACUCCAUGAGUAAAAAAUAAUCAAACCAAAUACUUCUACAUUAAUAACUGUGAUACUAUAAUCUAGUUAGAAGGAAGGAUUGAUGAUCCAAAUCUAUAAUUAAAUAUCAUAUGCUUCAUUACAGAGGAGUAGUGAUUCAUACAGUAAUCAAAGCCAAAACUCAAUGCCUCUAUAAAUGUGUGUGUGUGUUUGUGAGGUCUACUCUGUUCCUCAUCAGGAACAUUGCCAGCUACAUCCAAAGGAAUUGUGGGCAUGGGUUCUCUUAUCAUCCUACAGAUUCAAUUUAAAGUUGGUGGUUGAAUCCAUCAAGAAGGUAAGUGGGUCUCAUUUCAAUGUCUGAUUGAGAUGUAGGACUUGGAGUUGUUCAUCAUUCAUAACUCACAUUGGACCAUUUGAUUGUCAAGUAAGGUGAUACUGUUUGAUGAAGACAUCAUAGCACUGUCACCACUGGUUGAAGAAUCCACAAAAAAUGGUCCAUCUUUCUUAUGAUCACAUGUCUUAUGUUUUAGGCUGUAUGCAGUACCCCUCUCAUGCUCUGAGAUGAGGACAUCACAGAUUGACUGUGUUCAUCUACCAAGCAGCUCAUCAAGAGAAAACACUUCAGGAGAAAUAAAAGAGGGGGCGAUGGCUCCACAACACCGCACAGCACAAAACACAUCGGUGAAACACUAUGUGAUCACUGACAGAGCACAGCGUGAAGGGGACCUCCGCGACAGGUGAGGUUUCAUCUCUCACCGCUAGCUGUCUUCCCUAAUCCAUUCACUGUCGUGACGUUGAAGUCCAUCUCCACUGUUUUGAUUCUAUGAUGGUAGUUUGCUUCUCUCUCUGUUCUCGUGAUUUGGUGGCUUUGCAGCGAGGACAAGCGAAGGAAGGGGGCGGGGGGGAGGGGGCGGCAGAUCAGACGCACGCAUUCACGACCGUGGCGGCCGCUGCUGUCUUCGUAGAGUAGAAAAAGACCGGUUUCUGCGCCUCGGCUCAGGUCUUGAGAGAUUUCCGGCGAAAUUAAUGUGCUCCGCCGCCUCAAACAUCUCGUCGAUCUCCAACUUUUUGCAGUUCACUGAACAAUUGCGUUGAGCUGUUCAAUCGAUAUGGGAUUCGAUUUAAAUAUUUUAUUUAAAUUUUAGCUGUAUAAUAAUCCUGACUUAUCGGACAAUCGGAUCUCAGAUAAUAAAGAUUUUAUCGUUUUA
This is a long non-coding RNA of Musa acuminata AAA Group (dessert banana), 5884 nucleotides long. RefSeq lists it as uncharacterized. The record is from RefSeq and is a predicted model, not a curated record. The transcript is spliced from 2 exons. Lineage: Eukaryota; Viridiplantae; Streptophyta; Magnoliopsida; Zingiberales; Musaceae.